AACAGGGAGGUGGGUAGCAUGGGAGCAGCCAGAGCAAAAACACUUGUCUUAUACUGACCCAGAGCAAGUGAAGGCAUCACCAAGGCUGGAUCAGGCAGUGUUGUGAGAAGAGGGGAACGCCUCUGUGUAGCAGAAAUGGCCGAGGAGGUUUGAACGUGCUGCCUUGUGACAAAGUAUCCACGAUCCAGCUGAGAGCACUUGAGCAAUACUCCAUCUGAGAGGAAAAAUCAGAAGAGAGAAAAUUAAAUCUGUGUAGUGACACAGUACACACCUGAGGGAUCUGUCCGAAGAUGUGCAAGUACGGCCUGUAGAAAACCCGGCGAAAGAUGCGAUCCAAGCUGGGGUCGUAGGAGUACAGCAAAGCCUGAUUGGCCACUCCGUAAGCCAUGAGCCACACCAUUAGGAAGAAAAGGAAGAAGAAGAUGUCCUUCAUCUGGAGAGAAAAUAAAUAGUUUCCGUCAGUAUAAUGAAAACAUCCAGCUAAGUACGAUUGGUACGAUGUCAACGUGCGGGAUCGUUUCUCACCAUCUUGCCAACGAUGAUGAUUUUUGGUCCCAGCUGUUUGUGAAUGGCAAAGAUGUGAAUGAGACGCAGGGUGAAGACCAUGUAGUCCACACACAGGAUAUCCCGGCCUAAUUCAUAUGACAUCUUGAACAUCCUAAAACACAGAGUGAAGCAAAUACAGUUAGGCUACAGCACCAUCCAGUGGCCGAAAUGUAAGAGUAACUUCAGAUUGAAUCUACGAGACUCAGGACAGGAAAUAUGAGAUGAUUUAGGGGACAGUUAAAGCCUGUCUGGUACUUUUUUUAUCGUGUUGUAUUGAUUUAUGUCCAGUUUGCAUAGCAAGGGCAAUACAUUCCCUAACAAUAACUGUAAUCAACUCUAACUGCCAUGAACAUAAAUCUGAAUCAGGUUGAACUGUGCAUGUCCACUCUUUGACCUUGUGACAUGUAUGAAAACACACUGCUCUGUUUUGAAGGGUCAAAGCCAUUGAGAAAGUCUU
This is a long non-coding RNA of Eleginops maclovinus (Patagonian blennie), 1003 nucleotides long. RefSeq lists it as uncharacterized. The transcript is spliced from 3 exons. The record is from RefSeq and is a predicted model, not a curated record. Lineage: Eukaryota; Metazoa; Chordata; Actinopteri; Perciformes; Eleginopidae.